UAGGGAAUCUUCCGCAAUGGACGAAAGUCUGACGGAGCAACGCCGCGUGAGUGAAGAAGGAUUUCGGUUCGUAAAACUCUGUUGUUAGGGAAGAAAAAAUGUAUAGUAACUAUAUACAAAAGAGACGGUACCUAACCAGAAAGCCACGGCUAACUACGUGCCAGCAGCCGCGGUAAUACGUAGGUGGCAAGCGUUGUCCGGAAUUAUUGGGCGUAAAGCGCGCGCAGGUGGUUUAGAAAGUCUGAUGUGAAAGCCCACGGCUCAUCCGUGGAGGGUCAUUGGAAACUAAUAAACUUGAGUGCAGGAGAGAAAAGUGGAAUUCCUAGUGUAGCGGUGAAAUGCGUAGAGAUUAGGAGGAACACCGGUGGCGAAAGCGGCUUUUUGGCCUGCAACUGACACUGAGGCGCGAAAGCGUGGGGAGCAAACAGG
RNAcentral lists this ribosomal RNA (429 nucleotides) under Verrucomicrobiota bacterium. RNAcentral's name for it is "Verrucomicrobia bacterium partial 16S ribosomal RNA". It matches the Rfam family "Bacterial small subunit ribosomal RNA", at positions 355 to 776 of the family's 1533-position model. The record is from RNAcentral. Lineage: Bacteria; Pseudomonadati; Verrucomicrobiota.